GUUCCCGUGGCUUAUCUGUUAGAGCGUCCGCCUUGGAUGCGGAAGGUUGUGGGUUUGAUCCCUGAUCGAGUCAUACCAAAAACU
Molecule: non-coding RNA, 84 nt
Organism: Potamilus streckersoni
Lineage: Eukaryota; Metazoa; Mollusca; Bivalvia; Unionida; Unionidae
Source: the annotation of a GenBank genome assembly